GAUAAGAGCCCACUUUGUAGGAAUCCUGACAGCAGGCACUCAUGGAAUCCCAGAAGCCCACAAGACGCUGGGGAGAGUUUCUGAUUCCAUUAGCCAUUCUGACAUCGAUAUGUGUCCCAGGUAUGGAAGCUAUGAAAUGCGGCGGGAAAAUAUGUGGACAUGGGACAUCAUGUGCGCAGGGUGUUUUUUGUCAUUGUGAACCAGGAUAUGCUGGUUUAAGGCGUGUACCUGGAAGUAAUGUGCCAUUUUGUUCAAAGAUCUGCAAGCUUAAAAAUCAAAAGUGUCCCGGCAAAACUACGUGUAAGCAGGUAAUCCUGUUCUGGAGGAGCAAACCAUUCCUAUCAUUUGAACAGUUGUGAGAGUGUUCACCUAAAGAGAGGUCGCCAUCUACAGGAGAAUGUGCAGAUUUUAUAGCUGACGGAUGUAGAGGGCGUUGUGGAUACAGGGCGACAUGUGUACAAGGUGUUUGUGGUUGUACUGAAGACUCAGAUAUCCUGAUAUCCCCUCGAGGAAGUUCGCUUCAGUUUUGUCUUCAAACAUGUGAUACUCGAAGGGAAUUGUGUCCUGUCAACACCACAUGUGAAAAGGUCGGUAUAAGAAAUGUGUGUCUUUCGUCAGCUGGAGCACACAGGUCUGCUAAAGGACAGUGUCUAGAUAUUGACGAGUGUACCGAAAAUCAAGCCAUAUGUGGUAACAACUCCGUUUGUACAAACACGGUGGGCAACUACACGUGCGUGUGUGCGGAGGGAUACAGGCAGAGGGAUAGUGAAGAGGUGGGAUGCAAUCUGGGUAAGCAAGUAUCAGGUACCAACGGACUAAAGGGGGCAGAUCCAGGCGGUUAUCCGUAGAUUUGUCCAUAUC
This is a long non-coding RNA of Liolophura sinensis, 861 nucleotides long. RefSeq lists it as uncharacterized. Lineage: Eukaryota; Metazoa; Mollusca; Polyplacophora; Chitonida; Chitonidae. The transcript is spliced from 6 exons. The record is from RefSeq and is a predicted model, not a curated record.